GAUGAACGCUGGCGGCGUGCCUAAUACAUGCAAGUCGAGCGAACAGAUAAGGAGCUUGCUCCUUUGACGUUAGCGGCGGACGGGUGAGUAACACGUGGGUAACCUACCUAUAAGACUGGAAUAACUCCGGGAAACCGGGGCUAAUGCCGGAUAACAUUUAGAACCGCAUGGUUCUAAAGUGAAAGAUGGUUUUACUAUCACUUAUAGAUGGACCCGCGCCGUAUUAGCUAGUUGGUAAGGUAACGGCUUACCAAGGCAACGAUACGUAGCCGACCUGAGAGGGUGAUCGGCCACACUGGAACUGAGACACGGUCCAGACUCCUACGGGAGGCAGCAGCAGGGAAUCUUCCGCAAUGGGCGAAAGCCUGACGGAGCAACGCCGCGUGAGUGAUGAAGGUCUUCGGAUCGUAAAACUCUGUUAUUAGGGAAGAACAAAUGUGUAAGUAACUGUGCACGUCUUGACGGUACCUAAUCAGAAAGCCACGGCUAACUACGUG
This 497-nucleotide ribosomal RNA is filed under the name uncultured bacterium. RNAcentral's name for it is "partial 16S ribosomal RNA". It matches the Rfam family "Bacterial small subunit ribosomal RNA", at positions 28 to 507 of the family's 1533-position model. The record is from RNAcentral.